UCUGUAGCCGGCCAAGUAAGUCCCUUGGGAAAUCUGGCAGCUCAACUGUCAGGCCGCUAGGGGAUACUGUUUGGCUUGGGACCGGGAGAGGUGAGAGGUACCUUGGGGGUAGGGGUGAAAUCUUGUGAUCCUCGAGGGACCACCAGUGGCGAAGGCGUCUCACCAGAACGGGUCCGACGGUAAGGGACGAAAGCUAGGGGCACGAACAGGAUUAGAUACCCUGGUAGUCC
RNAcentral lists this ribosomal RNA (230 nucleotides) under uncultured bacterium. RNAcentral's name for it is "partial 16S ribosomal RNA". It matches the Rfam family "Archaeal small subunit ribosomal RNA", at positions 518 to 747 of the family's 1478-position model. The record is from RNAcentral.